Molecule: ribosomal RNA, 512 nt
Filed under: Clymenella collaris
Lineage: Eukaryota; Metazoa; Annelida; Polychaeta; Maldanidae
Description: partial 16S ribosomal RNA
Rfam family: Bacterial large subunit ribosomal RNA
Source: RNAcentral
AGCCUCUUGUAGUAAAAUUAAGAGGUGGAGCCUGCCCGGUGACUUACGAGUUAAACGGCCGCGGUACCCUGACCGUGCUAAGGUAGCAUAUAAUACGCCCUUUAAUUGUGGGCUAGAAUGAAUGGACAAACGAAGGUAAAGCUGUCUCCCUAAUACAAAAAUAAGUUUACCUUUAGGUGAAAAGGCCUAAAUUCUAUUAAAAGACAAAAAGACCCCGUAGAGCUUAAUUACCACACUAUAGGGGUGGAAAACAAUUUAUCCACCCCUAUAAAAAAAAUAAUUUAGCUGGGGCGGCUAAGGAGCAAUACACACCCUCCUCUUCUAUUAACGGUUAACCCACCAACCAACACUGAUCCUUUACUGAUUAGAGAAAAAAGCUACCUCGGGGAUAACAGGCUAAUAUCUCUCAAGAGUACGUAUUGAAAGAGAUGUUUGGCACCUCGAUGUUGGCUUAGGAGACCCUAGGAGUAGCAGAAGCCCCAAAGGCGGGUUUGUUCAACCCUUAAACUCCU